CUUCUUCUAAUUCUUCGCGUCCGAGAAGGCUCGAUCUCCUCCAGCUAGGGCCCAAGGACGGGCUUCAGGGGUUAUCCUUGAAGAGAACGAGCCAUGGAGCCCGAGCUUCUUCGAAUUCGUCACGUCUUCUCGAAUUCCUUCGCUUCGGACGCCCUUCUCUCAUUCCGAACAUGGUUUCGUCCAACAACGGGCGAUUCGGGCGAGUUCUUGGAAGAGAGCGAGCCACCGGCCUCGAGCUUCUUGGAGAUCCUGUCGUCUGAGAGGGCGAAGGUCUCCACGCUGGGGUCAGCCUUGGCCCUCUGACAUUCCGAUCGAAUGCCUUCCGCGGCCCAUGGGUGGAUCGAGUCCUUCGCCAGCACGGUCUUGGUAACUUCUUUCCUCCUCUGUUUCAAGAUAAAUGGAAUUAGGGUUUAGGAAUCCUCUGGAAGUUGAGGGGGUCAACAUGAGGCGAACUAUAGUACCAAGAAACAGUGUUACGCUCGACAUGCCUGAUUUGCUUCAUAAAUAUAAUCUUAAUCAUUCACCAAUGCUAUAUAUCAUUUAUAUGAAAUUUCAUGAAUCUCAUGUCCUUGUUAACUUGUUUGUGAUAUUGAACAAUUUUAUCGGAUAAUGAGCAUCUACACAACAAAGAAAAAUUGAUAUGAUUUACUAUUCUUCUAUUCGACUCUUUUUGGUUCAGUGACCAAAGUCUUUCAGCCUGUAAUGUAUGACUUAUUUUGUGUGAUUCUGAACUAAUUUUCUGGGGAUAAUAGUAUAUGUAAUAUCUAUGGCUGUAAUACUUCUAAUUAAUGAAGCCCCUGAUUAUUAUUAUUAUUCCAAAAAUGAAGUUGAUAUGCCAAUGCUCGUCUUUAAAGUUAUUAUUCUUCCUCUGUUCUUUGAGUGUUUAUGCUGAACCUGAAAACUUGUGGACUUUAUUCUAUAUAUUAAGGCUUUCCUUUGCUCCCAAAAUGUUAUAUGGCUAUCGGCUGAUCUUUUUUUCCUUGAUAUCAUCUCGUUUUCUAAACCUGUAUCAGUUUCUUAGUAUCUUCAUAUAUACUUCUUGUGGCCUCAUAUCAUCAUCAACAGUUGCAGUGGAGUUCCAUAUAAUGAUGGCAAGCUAGCUUGACGUAUCCAUACAAUGUCUUAGCCAAGAAGAAGGGUUAUUGAG
This 1147-nucleotide long non-coding RNA is filed under the name Musa acuminata (dwarf banana). RNAcentral describes it as "long non-coding RNA (MACU_LNC003637)". Lineage: Eukaryota; Viridiplantae; Streptophyta; Magnoliopsida; Zingiberales; Musaceae. The record is from RNAcentral.